AGCACCUACUCACUGUGAGUUGUUCCCACCUACACAGGUGCUGCUCUUCUGCUCUGUUCCAGUAUGAACUCAAACCAGUUUGCAUAAACCACUAACUGCAAGAGCAUUCCUCAUCCUCUGAUGUCUCCAUUUGUUCUCUUUGAUUUCAUGAUAUAAGUGCUCACAUCAGGCUGCUUUACUAUUAUAUGCUGGAAUUCCCCUGUGUUUCCUUAUCCACACCUCAUGCUCCGUCUUUUCUUGAUCAGAAGAAGAUCUAACCCAGGAGGACUGGGGGACUCAAACUAGGGGAAAACACAGCUCAGACUUAAAGGUGUGGUUCUGUUGCUGAAAAGAGAUUUUGAGUGUCACACUGGACACCACAGGGUAUCCUGCUCAUCCCUUAAAUGCCUCUCUGGAAAACAUGAGUCUCAGGUAAGUUUUGUAUUUUAGCUCCCAGUCCCACAAGGAUGCUCAAUGCCCACACCUGAAUCUAACUCAUUAACCCACUACAUAGCUUACCUUUAAGUCUGAGCUGUGUUUUCCCUUAGUUUGAGUCCCCCAGUUAGAUCUUCAUCUGAUCAAGAAAAGAUGGGUCCCUGGAUGAGCAUGAAGUGUGGAUAAGGAAACACAGGGCAAUUCCAGCAUAUAAUAGUAAAGCAGGUGUGAUCCACACCUGGAUCUGAAUAAUUUUUCUCUGGAGCACGGUGCAUUAAGUGUUUCAAGCACAUAUAUAUUCCCUCUUCUUUGCACCAACUGAAGAUGUCAAAGUAAUGCAUAGGACUUAGUCUUUAAAAGUGAUGCCAAAAGUAUUUUUCAAGAUAUGUAUGAUCUAAAAAAUAACAUCCAAGUACUGGAGCAUUUCUCUUUCCAAACCACAUUUACACCAGCAGUUUUUCACCAGAUUCCAUAUGCAGCACUUAACUUGGUGGGAAGGCUGUUGAUCCAGACAAAUCACACAGCUCUGCACAGCAGCACUGACUCUUUUUCUGUCCACAUAGAAUAUCUGCCAACGGAGAGCUGGAUAAAGGCUUUGUAUUUAAGUUUGUAAUGCCACAACCAGCUAACAGGGCUUGGGAGUUAUAGGGGAGGCUCACCUGGUCACCCUGUGCCUGUCAUUGUGCAGGGCUGCUAAUUAUUCCCUUCUUAUUACUGCCUGCCUUCUAUAAACAGCUGAUUAUGAUUUAUGAAAAAAUAUCUCACCCAUAUUUGGAUUAUGAGACAGAUAUGACUGUAUAUUUCAAGUCCAGAGCCAACUUGGCAGAGCGCAUGUGUGUUUUCAUGCUCUAAAUGCACAGUCUGUCACUCAAAGGAUCGCUGUUCCUAAACCUCCAAGAUGAGGCAGGACCAACAGCACUCUGACUUGGGGCAGUUUUGGGAGGAGUGGUGGGAGGUUUGAGGUGAAGGAUGGAUUUCUCUGCUCCCAGUCUGCCUGCUGUGGUGACCAGUCACUGCACUGGGGAUGGUGGGACACAACUCAGAGAGACAAAAACCCAUGUUAUGUUGAGUCAGAAAAGGAGACAUAAGCGAGGUGGGGACUAGUUGGUUUAACAUCUCCAGAGGCACUUUUAAGGCAUGGGAAAAAUGCAUCACAAGGGGAGUUAUUUCUUGCCUCUUUUUAGGUUCUUUCUCCUUCAAACUAUUUUCUCUGCUGUCCCCUCUGUAGUGUUUACCUGUUUCAUCUCUCCGUGCAUUCCUAUUUUUCUCUUCUCCUUGGCCAAGAUACUCAGAGGAAAUACAAGCGAGAGCCAAGAGUUGCCACAGGGUCUGGUUUUCUGAGAGCUGAGGAGAAUGGGAGAGAAGAGGCAGAGAAGCUGCUCAGAUCAGGGAUUCCUUCCUUCCUUCCUUCCUUCCUUCUUUCCUUUUUUCCUUCCUUCCUUCCUUCCUCCUUCCUUCCUUCCUUCCUUCCUUCUUUCCUUUUUUCCUUCCUUCCUUCCUUCCUUCCUUCCUCCUUCCUUCCUUCCUUUCUUCCUUCUUCAUAGAAUCAUAGAAUGUCCUCAGUUGGAAUGGACCCACAGGGAUUAUCAAGUCCAAGUCCUGUCUCUGUACAGGACAAGCUCAAAAUUCACACCAUGUGUUUGAGGGUGUUGUCCAGUUGUUUUUUGAGUAUUGGGGCUGUGACACCUCCCUGGGGAGCCUGUUCCAGUGUCCAGCACCCUCUGGGUGAAGAACCUUUUCCUCAUGUCCAACCUAAGCCUCCCCUGGCACAUCUUCCUGCCAUUCCCUCGGGUUCUGUCAUUGGUCACUGAAGAGAAGAGCUCAGCCCUGCCCAUCCUGCUCCCCUUGUGAGGAAGCUGUUCCCGCCACGAGCUCUCCCCUCAGUAUCCUCCUCUCCAGGCUGAACAAACUCAGUGACUUCAGCCACUCCUCACACAGUUUUCCCUCCAAACCCUUCACCAACUUCGUAGCCGCUUCUGGACACUCUCCAGUAGCUUUUUAUCCUUUUUAUCCUGUGGCGCCCAGACCUGCACGCAGUGCUGCAGGUGAGGCCGCAGAGCGGGACAAUCCUCCCCUUUAGCUGGGGAGCCUGAACCAGCUGUCGCCAACUGUCUCACCCGAUGGCGGGUGGCAGCGGGAUUCCAGCCCCUCCUCUCUUGGCCUGAGGUGUGUGGUGACAUGUCAGAGUUGGCAGCUCGCAGCUGUGUUCUGGGCUCCAUGCUCACACACCCUUCAUGCCCACACAAAUAUCACAGGAGAGGACUCACUCUGGGGCUUCUGGAAAGUCUACGGCACUCAGAGACUUUCCUCGGGCUUAUUGAUUUUUGGUGCUGACCCAACACAGGUACAUAAUGUAUACAAACACAUAUACACACAUGAAUAUAUUACAUAUUAUGUAUAUAUUAAUGCAUAUAUGCUAUACAGAUUAUAUUCUCCAACCUUAGUUAGACACCAUUUAGCCUGAAGCCGUUUUUCAUAAUUUCAUAAUAGCUGUUUGAUCACUGGGUGAGAAAAAAUGAGAUUAUAAACUCGGCUACUGAAUAUUUAGCAGUGAGCAUUAUUCUCAUCCCAGAUGUGCUGUAUUUUACCAGUAGUGAGGGCAGGCUAUGAAAAUAGUUGUCUCAGGAGAUUUGAACAUAAACCAGUUUAUGAAUAGUCAGAGCAGGGGUAGGUUUCAGACUCUAGUCCAAGUAAAUAUAUUAGAUCUUUGCAGGACUAACCCUGGGAAGUGAGUCACUGACAUCUGAAAUAACUUUGUAGUCAAGAUAGUCUCCAUAAAGACAUGAGUCUUGUUUACAAAGACCCUGAAGUUGGCUGACAAAAUAUUUACUUUGAAAUGAAACUUGAGUUUCUUCAAUUUUCUGCACCUUGAGAAUAAUUGUAUUAAGUAAGCACAGCACUUACAUUGAUGUACUGUAAGCAUUUAGGUGGUAUUACUUCUGCAAAUUCCUCACUGAUUUACAAAGAGGGACAACACUGUUGACAUUUUACAAAAGCAGAAACAGAGGCACAGAGGGCUUGAGUGAUUAGGCCAUUAAUAUAUUGUGUUAUCCUGGACUAGGCAGGAAACUAGGGCUAGUGUUCAGCCCUCACAAUAUCAGUACGGAAUGGAUAUGAUUACUGAUUUAAUAUCACUGUUCUAAAACAAUAGGUUAUAUUUUACAUGGAAUAUGGACUGGAUUAGGGACUUUUCUCAAGGGUGUUACACUGAUUUAGCCCUGCGCAGAGAGACUCCAUCACAUUUCAAGGCUAAACCAGACCAAAAUACUUCCUUAGGCUAAUUUGUGAGGGUCAGUCGAGAACAUUUUUCUGCACAGUAACAUCACGGAGGUAUCAUUAAAGAUACCAUAAAGAAAGAAAAAAGUAAGGUUAAAAUAAUUGUAUGUGCUUUUUUUUUCAAAGGAUAACAAUUGCAUAAUAACAAGAAUGCUUUCUUACUGGCAUUACCAUUGCUCUGUCACUGCUACAAUGUUUAAAAUUAGUGUAAUGAACGAAUGUUUAAAGAUGAAUAUGAAUGCAAAUUAUAAACCUAUUUUCCCCCUUGACUGCUUUGAUUUAACUAAACAGGCAUGAAAAACAAGAUUGAGAAGUCAGUUAAAGACAGUCCCUGAAGUUUUGAUGAUGAUCUGUGGACAAUGACUGGUGCCUAAACUGCCUUUGCUCCUCUAAAUUGGAGCUCUUGAUGUACGCCUUAGAGGUAGUGGCUUUUUUGAAAGAUGAUCUAAUGCCACGUUGGUGGGAAGUUGUCCUAGUGAUCCAUGGUGGCUGGAGGAGAUAAAGUUAACUAAGCUGCACACUGUUGUUACAGAUGGCCCGAGUCUUCAUCCUUUUGACAGACGUAAACCUAAUCAGCUUCUGCUAAUGACAGAUUUAAACUCAUAACAUAUUGCCUUGUCCUGCUGGGUCUACACUAUUUAUACUCAUGUCAUCAUUUUCCACUAAUAUAAACAAUAUCCGGUUUCAGAAGUUCACUCUUAAUUUACAGGUAUAUUUUUCCAUUGGCAGUUCUUCAACAUCAGUGAAUAGCUUCGUCGCAGGCUUUGCAGUACUUGAACUCAAUCUCAGUUUUGGUUUGGAGAUGGUUCACUGGAAACCAGGCUCAUAAAAUAAUUGUUGUUAUACAUAAUUAGGCACUGUAUUUACAUUUUUCAGCAGGGAUUGUAAUACUGAAUUAAAAUUUGGGAAAAGAAUCUUCUGAAAUCACCUGCAAAUGGUGGCAAUAUUGGCUUCCUGAGUCUGCAAGCAGCCCGGUUCGUAAAGAUGGGAAUUUCCCUUUUCAUCUCAGUAAGAUUUUAACAUCAAAAUCUAAUAAUGUUUUCUGAACAUUGGCUCUAGUUAUUUUGAUUUUGGUCAUUACAACAGAUAGAAUUUGACAGAUUAAAUUUGAUUUUGCAGUUGGCUUCUGUUUAUUACUGUUUUAUCUCUUUGUGCAUUGUCAUGGAGCUGUUGUCAUCCCUAAGAAAAUGACAAAAGGUAUCACUGCUAUCACUGUAAUCCAGUGACUGGAUCUAUAUUUGGAUGUGGACUCAAAAGUAAACAUGGUAAUUCAUUGGGGUCCUAAGUCCCAAGAGUCUGCACCAAUACCUUAAAUGAUGCCACAAGACCAGCUCAACAAGAAAAGUAGAACUCAAGUUUUUUGGUUGUCAGAUUUUUUUUUGAGGUUUCAUCUUUCAGGUAGAAAUAUUACAUGUUUAUGCAAGCCUUCUGACUGGCUCUUUUGGAUAUUAAAGACCCAAGCACCUUUUUGUGCCGCACAUCCUUGACUUGCUGGCAAAAAACAGCUUUUCCUGUUAGAGCAGGAGCCAAUAUUAAAAGGAAUGCCUAGGCUGGUGCUACGUGCAAGUUUACAGGUGGCACUUUUGUCUCCCAGUAACAUUAAUUAUUUUUAAUCACAAAGCACUCUGAGAUAUUAGUAAAUGGAAAAAUACAGAACUUCUACUCUUGACAUGACUAUGACAGAAAGUAGGGAACUAAGUAUCAGUCACUAGUACCCAAAAAAGUGGAUACUAACAGUAUUUGAAAUCAGUGACCACAAAAUAAGGCCUACAACUGUUUGUCCAGUUCAAAGUUCAUGUACAAUUGAAGUAUACACAGUGCCACCUUCUGUAAUUAAUGGGCUAAAGUGAAUUAAGUUUGGAAUCUUCAUGUAUGCAGAUGUGAUUCUUUUUUGUUGUAUGAGAAAACUCUACAGGGUUUCUUGGUGAAGUCCUAUAUAUCUAGAAAGGAAAACCACUCCUCUCUGAAAAGGUUUAUAGCCUACAUGUUUAAUCAAACCUCUUUAAACUUCAGAUGUAAGAACAGAACUUACCACAGAAAGAUAUGAUGACAUUGUAAGAUAUGUUAAGCAAAAGGCUUAAGUGAAGCUUCCAAAACUCUUGAAAUAUUUUACCAGUAGAAAUGGUUUAAUAGUGUCAUGGUUUGAAUAUUGGAUUUGGGCUGCCAAGUCUUCAUGCAGGGCCUAAAUACUCUAUGUGUGACAAUUAAGAAAUGUUCAGGCUAGUUUAUUAGAAUGCAAGAGUAUCUCCAUACUCAAUGCUCCUGACACACGUCACCUUUUGAUAUGAACAGUGCAAUGAGUUGAGAGUCUAUGAGAGAAACUCAAAAAACCCACAACUUUAUGUAGACCAUGAAUUUAAACCUCCUGCCCCCUUGCUCAUGCAGGGAUUUUCAUAUGGGUUCAAUAAAAUUGUGCAAUGCUCCAAAUUUGUGGGUAAAAUCAGCUUUUUCUCAUAAAGAAAGUGGUUAAGUAUAAUUUUCAGUUUACAGUUGGAAGUGGUACGGAAACUGUGAGUAAUAGACAAUGUAACAAGUAGUCAUGCAAAAUUAUUCCAACAGUUAAUAAUAAUUACCGUAGUUUCAAUUGUAUCAAUAUGCCGCACAUAUAAUACACAGGCACAUACAGAAAUAUGAAACAGAAAUCUUUAUAGUCUAAUCAAAAGCUUUUUAUUGUGAGGAUGAAAAAUAGGUCAACAGCUCACAUUAUACUAGGUUAAUAGUAACAAAAGUGAAAGACAGCUCUGUAUGGAUAAUACAUCACACACAUCCCUUGGAAGCGUUGGAGAAUUCAGUCUAUACCAUGUGAAAAACAAAACGGGGUACAAUAAAAUCUAGGCAUUUUUAUUAAGCUGUGCAGAUUUAUUAAGCUGUGCUGUAAAAAUUAGGCUUUUGAUACUCAUGAACUGCUUUUUUUGUACUUUUCCCCCCCUCCCCUUACUGCAGCAAACUUUGUACCUCUGGCUUCAACUAGGAGUUGCUCACGAUGCCCGUGUGUGUUACCAUCAAAACCUGGUUUUGCUCCAGAAGAUCUAGACACAUCCUCUCUGCCUCUUCUGGAGGAUGAAUGAAAACUGACACAGAACCCUCAGUGCACAGAAAUGGUGCUGUUUGGCUGACACUUCACAUAAUCAUAGAAAACAGGGCUGAGGGACGGAUCCUCCUCUAUCUUAGUGUAUAUCUCCCCAAAAUAGCUAUAUUUUUUACAGGUCUGCCGAAGGAAGCACAUUGUGGGAAUGGGAGAAAAUGUUCUGAAAUCUUAUUUCCCAAAGAACUCUGUUGAAAAUAGAUGUCAUUUGGUCUAAUUUGACUAAUUCCUUAGUCAGAUCUACUUGGCAGAAACAGCUGUAGCGCUGGCUCGCUAAUAAAGUUUUCUAUUUUCUUUCAUUGCCUCUAAGGACAUUAUCUCGUGGUUCUGCUUUCUUACAAUUAUUCUGGUCCUGUUUCCUUCUAAAAUAUUUCUGUUUCAAAUCCAUCAACCAUUCACAUACAAAAUAAAUAUUAGCAUCAUGUUUCAAUAACAAGUGUUUACACUACACACCCAGUCAGCUUGCCAUGAAUCAGAGAAUCUUUUCUGAUGACAUGUAUUUGGAAGAAGCACAAUUUAUCUAGGUAACAGAAUAAAUUGGUCUUACCUUUUAUCUAUGUACAGUCCUGUUACAGUCCUAUAAAAUUCCCCACAGCACACGACACACGAAGCAAACAAACAUAUCCUCAUCCAGGACUCAGAGCUGGCUGAGUUUUGGGUUUCACCAAGAUCCAAGAGCCCAAGCUGGAUCAUACGCUUGCUGUGAAACCAGAGAAGUAAAUGAGCCUGUCAAGUCCUAACUAGCAUUAUAUGACAAAUUUAAUUUGGCAAGAAUAUAUAGUUCAGUAUUUUGUCAAACUUGCUGAGCCUUGUAUAUUCCGUAUAUGUACCUCAAUCAACUGAUAUCCUGAAUUCAGGAGGUUCUAAGGAAAACAUACAAAAAUUAAAUCAAACUUUGUUUCACUGUGUGAUUUUUAGAAGCCAGUGCUUCAAAAAGAUUAUGUCAAGAAAAAUAAAAACUAUAAUCUGGAGUGGUUCUACUAUUAUACGGGCUGUCAGCAGUGCAACUCUUCAAACCAUUAGUUGCUGCAAGUGAAUGUAGAAAUAACUGAAUUUAAGCUAUUUGCUUAGCUUUUAGCUUAGAUCAUAGAUACAGGGUAAAAUUAUACUCUUUUCAGAUUUGUUACAGACUUAAGGGGCUUCUACAAACGCUGUUCUGCUGGCAGCAGAAAACACAGAGGUUGAUCUGACGCCUGAUUAGUUGCUCCUACCUCCCUCAGAAUGAAGACCCACAUCUCCAGAAAAAAGGCCAGUGGUCAAUGUGAAAGUUUGGUUUGAGUUCCCUCACUGAAAGGGCAGCACAGCACUGGCUAAAAUCUGCCCAAUAUUACAGCUCAAACCUUCUCUAACACCACCAUAAAAGCAUUCUUUAAUGCUGCUCUUCUCUAAUAGUGCCAUUCUCUAACACUGUGAUGUUCCCCCCUCCGCUGCCUGCUCUGGCAGCUCUCCAAACUAUUGCUUCUAUUUCUAUUUCUAUCCCGCUUGCUUUGUAUCAAGCCCUGCAAAACAACAAGUAGGCAAUUUACGAUGUAAAUAAUUUUUUUGUAUAAGUGGGAAAUGGUCUGCAGGCAUAACUGUGAGUACCAAGUAUAAGGUUGGAAAUGGGGGCAUUUAUUUUCUUUCUUUUCUGCAGUAGGCUGAAUGGUUUUGAACUGGUGUUCUAAGCCAGGGUGUCCAAGCCUGUCAUUGUCACAGAUCUCUGUUUUAAAGGUGGAAAAUUGGGUGGUUGUAGCUGUAGAUGCAGAUGGCAGGGUACCGAAAAGAGUACUGAAAAGUCAGGGUACUGAAAAGUCAAUGAAGAUUAAAUCUUCCAUCCAUGGCCCAUAGGCCAGCUACCAGCCUUUCACACUUUCUCCUUUCCACAAUCCCUUUAAAAUAAUAUUUAUGGAUGUAUGUAUUUGCAUCUACUUAAUUAAUCUCAGAAUCUAUAAUUUAAAAGUUUUGACAUGAAGGGAUGGAGAUUUUUUUCUUAACUCCUACCUGUAGAGCAGGUUUCUAACCCAAAUCUUGGGCUGUGUAAAGGGAAAAAGGUCUGCUCCUAGGUAGCCAGCAGCUUGAUCCUGAAUAAAUGUAUCAUGAGAAAAGAAUUCAAGGGAUAAGCACUCUAUUUUUUCGAUAAGAUCAGAUUUGGUAGGAAAUACCCACUUUCUAAUACAGAUAGAAGCAUGCCUGCCUUAUCAUCUUGCAUCUGUCUAUAGGAUUGUUAGCUUCUGCCUGAAGAUAAACCUCUUUUUAAAGGCAGAAUACUUGAAAACAGUUUCCAAAACAUACAAAACAUACCAAAGCACUGUGGGAAUAUACACCCUGCUCAUUAAAAAAAAUAAAUAAAAUUGAAGUGGCAAUGGUCUUCUGUGUUGACAACAAAUUUCAACAUAAUGCCAUCAAUGUUCAAAAUAAUAACAUACUCAAAUUCUUGUUAAUCUCAAAUGAGUGAAAUAUUAUAAUCUGAUUAGUUCUCCUAGUGGGAAAGGCUGGAAGUGACUUCAAAUACCUGAAGAUCUAUGAAAGGUGUGGGUCACCAGAGGCAAUGUUCUGCAUACACAUGUUCAGUGUUAUGUUUUACAGCCUGAAGCAAAUGUUGUUAUGCAUGAAAGGACAGAACAUCUAGUCAUUUCUCACUUAAGAACAUCGUCAAACACCUGCAUAAUCUUUCUACUGCUGUAUGGAUCCCCUUUCCCCCUGGAUCACAUGAAAGUGUUCUAUUAAUGUGAAUUGGCUGAUGUUGGAGAACACUAUGCUGGACAGCUAUGAAGUGUAAGGAAUUCGACCCAGGGAGCUGCAGGGCUGUGACACAUCAGUUCUUCACAGGAAUUCUCAGUAGCUGGGUGAGAAUAACCCGAGACAGGUCCCGCACACUGGGUGCAGGCUGCCGGGGUUGUUAGUACACUGUUUGCUUACGGCAAUGAGACAAGUUCCAUGAUACACCAAUGUAACUGGAAUGUUGUCCUCUGGUUUUUCACUCCAGGACUAUACUAAGCAUCAGGUUGUCUCCCUCCCCUGACUAAGUAAGCAAAGUUUGGGAAAAUGGAUCAGUUUAGGACAUUAUAAGCACACAGCAUGGCCAAAAGUGAUAGCUGCCUUAGGAAAACUACGACAAGUCAGCACUGCUCCACAUAUUUCAUGAGGAAUGCUUUACUGGAGUUCAGAAUAAACAUUCCAAGUCUGGGAAUGCUGGUAGAUUA
Columba livia (rock pigeon) is the source of this 9957-nucleotide long non-coding RNA. RefSeq lists it as uncharacterized. NCBI's taxonomy places the organism in Eukaryota, Metazoa, Chordata, Aves, Columbiformes, Columbidae. The transcript is spliced from 3 exons. The record is from RefSeq and is a predicted model, not a curated record.